RNAcentral lists this ribosomal RNA (253 nucleotides) under uncultured bacterium. RNAcentral's name for it is "partial 16S ribosomal RNA". It matches the Rfam family "Bacterial small subunit ribosomal RNA", at positions 524 to 776 of the family's 1533-position model. The record is from RNAcentral.
UACGGGGGGGGCAAACGUUAUCCGGAGUUACUGGGCGUAAAGGGCGUGCAGGUGGUCUGUUAAGUCUGGCGUGAAAGCUCUCGGCUAAACCGGGAGAGGUCGUUGGAUACUGGCGGACUAGAGGACGGUAGAGGUGUGUGGAAUUCCGGGUGUAGUGGUGAAAUGCGUAGAGAUCCGGAGGAACACCAGUGGCGAAGGCGACACACUGGGCCGUACCUGACACUAAGACGCGACAGCAUGGGGAGCGAACGGG